UUUAUUAUAUGAAUCAUAAGCAUGUGCUUAUCUAUUACAAGUACCUUUGAUGGUGAAAAUUACAUUUUUUAUCUGAAGAGAGUUGGGAGAAAUGUUCAUAUUGAAACGAGAUAUUGUGUAAAGAGGUUUUCAAAGAAGUCGUUUUAACAACA
Molecule: non-coding RNA, 152 nt
Organism: Hydra vulgaris (swiftwater hydra)
Lineage: Eukaryota; Metazoa; Cnidaria; Hydrozoa; Anthoathecata; Hydridae
Source: RefSeq, a predicted model, not a curated record